This 253-nucleotide ribosomal RNA is filed under the name uncultured bacterium. RNAcentral describes it as "partial 16S ribosomal RNA". It matches the Rfam family "Bacterial small subunit ribosomal RNA", at positions 524 to 776 of the family's 1533-position model. The record is from RNAcentral.
UACGUAGGGGGCAAGCGUUGUCCGGAUUUAUUGGGCGUAAAGCGCUCGCAGGUGGUUCGUUGCGUCGUGCGUGAAAGACCCCGGCUCAACUGGGGAGGGUCGUGCGAUACGGGCGAACUGGAGGCCAGUAGGGGGAUGCGGAAUUCCGGGUGUAGUGGUGGAAUGCGUAGAGAUCCGGAGGAACACCGGUGGCGAAGGCGACAUCCUGGACCAACACUGACGCUGAGGAGCGAAAGCCAGGGGAGCAAACGGG